This 45-nucleotide non-coding RNA is filed under the name Schistosoma mattheei. The record is from RNAcentral. Lineage: Eukaryota; Metazoa; Platyhelminthes; Trematoda; Strigeidida; Schistosomatidae.
CUUUACUCGACGAGUCCCAAACAGGACGAAACGCGCGUCCUGGAU